Molecule: ribosomal RNA, 513 nt
Filed under: uncultured bacterium
Lineage: Bacteria
Description: partial 16S ribosomal RNA
Rfam family: Bacterial small subunit ribosomal RNA
Source: RNAcentral
GAUGAACGCUGGCGGCGUGCCUAAUACAUGCAAGUCGAACGCACAGCGAAAGGUGCUUGCACCUUUCAAGUGAGUGGCGAACGGGUGAGUAACACGUGGACAACCUGCCUCAAGGCUGGGGAUAACAUUUGGAAACAGAUGCUAAUACCGAAUAAAACUCAGUGUCGCAUGACAAAAAGUUAAAAGCCGCUUUGGCGUCACCUAGAGAUGGAUCCGCGGUGAAUUAGUUAGUUGGUGGGGUAAAGGACUAGCAAGACAAUGAUGCAUAGCCGAGUUGAGAGAAUGAUCGGCCGCAUUGGGACUGAGACACGGCCCAAACUCCUACGGGAGGCUGCAGUAGGGAAUCUUCCACAAUGGGCGAAAGCCUGAUGGAGCAACGCCGCGUGUGUGAUGAAGGCUUUCGGGUCGUAAAGCACUGUUGUAUGGGAAGAACAGCUGGAAUAGGGAAUGAUUUUAGUUUGACGGUACCAUACCAGAAAGGGACGGCUAAAUACGUGCCAGCCGCCGCAGUAA